GCCACUGCUAUUGGAGUUCGACUAAGCCAUGCGAGUUCAGGGGGGCUUUGCCCACCAGCGGACGGCUCAGUAACACGUGGACAACCUACCCUCAGGAGGGGGAUAACCCUUGGAAACAGGGGCUAAACCCCCAUAGAUCAUGGAUGCUGGAAUGCACCGUGGUUAAAAUUCCUUCGGGAGCCUGAGGAUGGGUCUGCGGCCUAUCAGGUUGUAGUGGGGGUAAUGGCCCCACUAGCCUAUGACGGGUACGGGCCCUGAGAGGGGGAGCCCGGAGAUGGACUCUGAGACACGAGUCCAGGCCCUACGGGGCGCAGCAGGCGCGAAACCUUCGCAAUGCAGGCAACUGCGACGAGGGGACUCCAAGUGCCUACGCUCAGCGUAGGCUGUUCUUAAGCCUAGAAAGCUUUAGGAGUAAGGGCUGGGUAAGACGGGUGCCAGCCGCCGGGGUAAUACCCGCAGCCCAAGUGGUGGCCGUUUUUAUUGGGCCUAAAGCGUCCGUAGCCGGUUUGGUAAAUGCCUGGGUAAAUCGUGGAGCCUAACUUCACGAAUUCCGGGUAGACUGCCAGACUCGGGACCGGAAGAGGGAGAGGGUACUUCAGGGGUAGGGGUGAAAUCCUGUAAUCCCUGGAGGACCACCCGUGGCGAAGGCGCUCUUCUAACACGGGUCCGACGGUGAGGGACGAAAGCCAGGGGAGCAAACCGGAUUAGAUACCCGGGUAGUCCUGGCCGUAAACGAUGUGGACU
RNAcentral lists this ribosomal RNA (744 nucleotides) under uncultured euryarchaeote. Its description in RNAcentral is "bacterial SSU rRNA". It matches the Rfam family "Archaeal small subunit ribosomal RNA", at positions 23 to 768 of the family's 1478-position model. The record is from RNAcentral. Lineage: Archaea; Methanobacteriati; Methanobacteriota.